Small nuclear RNA from Neltuma alba, 105 nucleotides. Lineage: Eukaryota; Viridiplantae; Streptophyta; Magnoliopsida; Fabales; Fabaceae. The record is from RefSeq and is a predicted model, not a curated record.
UUGUUAAUGAAACCAACAGUGUUAAUAAAAGGUACAAUACAGAAAAGAUUAGUAUGCCCCUGUGCAAGGAUGACACACACAAAUCGAGAAAUGGUCCAAUAAAAG